GGCGGUUGUGUCCCCAAGGGCCAUUCAGGGCGGAAGGGAACAGGGAAAACCGCUGUGUUGAUUCCCGGGCCCUGUAGGCUGGGAGCGCGGAGGGUCAGGUUACAGACAGUUCACCACAGGCACAUGCAGCGACUCGGUGGUUCACAGCUGUGACCUGUGUGGCAAGGGCUUCCGUCUGCAGCGCAUGCUGAACCGUCACCUCAAGUGCCACAACCAGGUGAAAAGACACCUGUGCACCUUCUGCGGCAAGGGCUUCAACGACACCUUCGACCUGAAGAGGCACGUCCGCACACACACAGGCAUUCGUCCCUACAAAUGCAAUGUCUGCAAUAAAGCCUUCACCCAGCGCUGCUCUCUGGAGUCCCACCUGAAGAAAAUCCACGGGGUGCAGCAGCAGUACGCCUAUAAGCAACGGCGGGACAAGCUCUAUGUCUGCGAGGAUUGCGGCUACACGGGCCCCACCCAGGAGGACCUGUACCUGCACGUGAACAGUGCCCAUCCGGGCAGCUCGUUUCUCAAAAAGACAUCUAAAAAACUGGCAGCCCUUCUGCAGGGCAAGCUGACAUCCACACACCAGGAGAAUACCAGCCUGAGUGAGGAGGAGGAGAGGAAGUGAGGAGAAGGAAGAGGAGGACAGAUGUUCACACUGCCACAUAUGUCUACGUGGAUUUUUGGUUUUCAGCGUCCCCCACCCCACUGGCUGUUCUUAAUUAGAAGUGACCAGUUCACCUCUGUGUCCUUUUGAAACAUCAGCAGUAGGGUCCAUUCCAAGAUUGUCAGUUACCGUAGUGACGUCAGGCCCUGUAACCUGUGUCCUGUCUGGCGCAGUUGCUCACAUUCACCAAAGUUUAUUUUCAUGAUCCUGAUGGCCAAGAACACCGUGUGGGAUUUUUUUUUCCCCCAAGGAUUUUCACACACGGAAGGAGAGGUAUUUCUUAGAGAGAUCAUCAUUUUAUGGUGCCUUGAAAUAAAAAUACUUCUACUUGAAA
RNAcentral lists this small RNA (989 nucleotides) under Pan troglodytes (chimpanzee). Its description in RNAcentral is "processed transcript". The record is from RNAcentral. Lineage: Eukaryota; Metazoa; Chordata; Mammalia; Primates; Hominidae.